This 293-nucleotide ribosomal RNA is filed under the name uncultured bacterium. RNAcentral's name for it is "partial 16S ribosomal RNA". It matches the Rfam family "Bacterial small subunit ribosomal RNA", at positions 335 to 645 of the family's 1533-position model. The record is from RNAcentral.
UAUCCUACGGGGGGCAGCAGUGGGGAAUAUUGCACAAUGGGGGAAACCCUGAUGCAGCAAGGCCGCGUGAGUGAAGAAGUCAUUCGUGAUGUAAAGCUCUAUCAGCAGGGAAGAAAAUGACGGUACCUGAGUAAGAAGCCCCGGCUAACUACGUGCCAGCAGCCGCGGUAAUACGUAGGGGGCAAGCGUUAUCCGGAUUUACUGGGUGUAAAGGGAGCGUAGACGGUGAUGCAAGUCAGAAGUGAAAGCCCGCGGCUCAACUGCGGGACUGCUUUUGAAACUGUAUAACUAGA